RNAcentral lists this ribosomal RNA (460 nucleotides) under uncultured bacterium. Its description in RNAcentral is "partial 16S ribosomal RNA". It matches the Rfam family "Bacterial small subunit ribosomal RNA", at positions 338 to 795 of the family's 1533-position model. The record is from RNAcentral.
CCUACGGGAGGCAGCAGUGAGGAAUAUUGGUCAAUGGACGCAAGUCUGAACCAGCCAUGCCGCGUGCAGGAAGACGGCUCUAUGAGUUGUAAACUGCUUUUGUACGAGGAUAAACGCAGAUACGCGUAUCUGUCUGAAAGUAUCGUACGAAUAAGGAUCGGCUAACUCCGUGCCAGCAGCCGCGGUAAUACGGAGGAUUCAAGCGUUAUCCGGAUUUAUUGGGUUUAAAGGGUGCGUAGACGGGCUGAUAAGUUAGAGGUGAAAUCCUGCGGCUCAACUUUGGAAUUGCAGUUGAUACUGGUCGUCUAGAGAGUAGUUGCGGUAGGCGGAAUGUAUGGUGUAGCGGUGAAAUGCUUAGAGAUCAUACAGAACACCGAUUGCGAAGGCAGCUUACCAAGCUACUUCUGACGUUGAGGCACGAAAGCGUGGGGAGCAAACAGGAUUAGAUACCCGGGUAGUC